This 328-nucleotide ribosomal RNA is filed under the name uncultured bacterium. Its description in RNAcentral is "bacterial SSU rRNA". It matches the Rfam family "Bacterial small subunit ribosomal RNA", at positions 28 to 334 of the family's 1533-position model. The record is from RNAcentral.
GACGAACGCUGGCGGCGUGCCUAAUACAUGCAAGUCGAACGAGAAUCAACGGAUUGAGGAUUCGUCCAAAUGAAGUUGAGGAAAGUGGCGGACGGGUGAGUAACGCGUGAGGAACCUGCCCUAGACAGGGGGAUAACUGCUGGAAACGGCAGCUAAGACCGCAUAGGUAUGGACACUGCAUGGUGACCAUAUUAAAAGUGCCAAGGCACUGGUAGAGGAUGGACUUAUGGCGCAUUAGCUGGUUGGUGAGGUAGCGGCCCACCAAGGCAACGAUCGGUAGCCGGACUGAGAGGUUGAACGGCCACAUUGGGACUGAGACACGGCCCAG